This 30-nucleotide transfer RNA is filed under the name Sphaerocarpos stipitatus. RNAcentral describes it as "partial tRNA-His". Lineage: Eukaryota; Viridiplantae; Streptophyta; Marchantiopsida; Sphaerocarpales; Sphaerocarpaceae. The record is from RNAcentral.
ACUGCCUUAAUCCACUUGGCUACGUCCGCC